This 71-nucleotide transfer RNA is filed under the name Thermoplasmatales archaeon SW_10_69_26. RNAcentral describes it as "tRNA-Cys". It matches the Rfam family "tRNA". From Rfam's summary of the family: Transfer RNA (tRNA) molecules are approximately 80 nucleotides in length. Their secondary structure includes four short double-helical elements and three loops (D, anti-codon, and T loops). Lineage: Archaea; Methanobacteriati; Thermoplasmatota; Thermoplasmata; Thermoplasmatales. The record is from RNAcentral.
GCAGGGGUAGCCAAGUGGUUAGGCGGCGGAUUGCAGAUCCGUUAACGCGCGUUCAAAUCGCGCCCCCUGCU